RNAcentral lists this long non-coding RNA (406 nucleotides) under Rattus norvegicus (Norway rat). Its description in RNAcentral is "long non-coding RNA NONRATT002005". The record is from RNAcentral. Lineage: Eukaryota; Metazoa; Chordata; Mammalia; Rodentia; Muridae.
GCUCCGCCCCCUCGCUCCAUUCUUCCCAGGUCUAGGGGUUCACCCGGUGGUUGCCGGGUACCCCGGAAGGCCGGGACUCGAUGGUACCAAUGGAGACGCAACUGCAGAGCAUUUUCGAGGAGGUGGUGAAAACAGAAAUUAUAGAAGAGGCUUUCCCAGGCAUGUUUAUGGAUACCCCCGAGGAUGAAAAAACAAAACUUAUUAGCUGUUUGGCAGCCUUCCGGCAGUUUUGGAAUGGACUUUCUCAGGAGUCUCAUGAACAGUGUGUCCAGUGGAUUGUUAAAUUUAUUCACGGCCAACAUAGCCCGAAAAGGAUUUCCUUUCUCUAUGACUGCUUAGCCAUGGCAGUUGAGACUGGUCUUCUUCCACCCAGGAUGGUUUGUGAAUCUUUGAUAAACUCUGACAC